CCCAACUGCAGGUGUCAACAUAGUUAUAAGAUUUAGUCAAGUCCCAUUCAGCCCAGGCACUUAGUCCCUGAGCCAGAACAAGGCAAGCCCAGGAGGCAAGAGGCAAAGGCCUGGGGCAGGCCGGAGGCUGAGGCUCUCAAUGCCAGGGUUGAGAGUUAAGUCCCUGGCAGAAAGUUUUUCAAGUUUUUGAUUUUAUAGAAGAUCCAGGUUCUGCUCAGGUCCAGCUCAAACUUAACGUCAACUUGGUGACAACAGAGGAGGUGAUGAAUGAGACGGACAAAGAAGGGAAAGAGGGGCCGGCUCCAUGGCCAAGUGGGUUUUCAUGUGGACAUAAGUUUUCAACUCAUUUAAGGAAAUACCAAGGAAUGCUGGAUGCUAUGGGAAGAGAAUGUCUAUCUUUGUAAGAAACUGCCCAAGUGUCUUCCAAAGUGGCUGCACCAUUUUGCGUUCCCACCAACAAUGAAGGAGAGUUCCUGUUUCUCCACAUCCUUGUCGGCAUUUCGUGCUGUACGUGUUCUGGAUUUGGGCCAUUCUAAUAGGUGUGUACUGGUAUCCCAUUAAUGUCUUAAUUUGCGUUUCCCUAAGGAUAUAUGAUGUGGGGCAUCUUUUCAUAUGCUUAUUUGCCAUUGGUAUAUCCUCUUUGGUGAGGCGUCUGUUCAAGUCUUUUAACCAUCAGAUUGUUUAAUUUUUUAUCGUUGAGUUUUAAGUGUUCUUUGUAUAUUUUGGAUAACAGUCCUCUUUCAGAUAUGUCUUUUGCAAAUAUUUUCUCCCAGUCUGUGGCUUGUCUUCUCAUUCUCUUGCGAGGGUCAGUCGGGGCUCUAAGACAGACGUGGCACUAAGGGCUCGCGAAAGCCUGUCUUAACGUGUGGACUUGGAACACAGUCUUCUGGCCCAGCCACGUCUGGGCCUUGCUGCUGCUGAAGAAAAGCCACUGGCUUUUCUGGAUUCCUGAACUCACAGAUCCUGAUUGCCUGGACUGACUCUAAGCCCAAACCUGAUCCUGUCCGCCCCAGGCUGAUUCACUCUCAGCGUGCACUGUGCUCAGUGGAAAGCAGGCAUAUGCUCAGUGAACAGGACUUUGGCUCUGGGAUGUCGGCAGAUUGAGGACACCCUCUGUGGGACCAUAAACUGUGAAAACAUCAUGGAUGCUGGCGCGACCAUCUGGGUCACAUAAAAACGCCCACAGGAAGAGGCUUCUUUGAUGGAACUCUCUGAAAUCAAGCUACUGUUCAGCUCUAUGUUUCUGAGGCAGAUGCUAAUUUCUGACGUUUUCUAACUCAUGAUUCCUGCCGAAAGCUGCAAGUUAGGGGAGGGCGCAUCACAGACGGUGACCCCUCUGGUCACUCCUAAUAGACGGACUCUUGACCCCCUUGGGCAGCUGUCCUCAGAAAUGUACUGAUCUGCUCCAGGCUGCUCAUUGGAUAAAUGAUCAGGACAAAAGGAAGGGGUCGGGGGUUGUAAAAAUUAUUCUAAAAGUUCAAGAUUUCAUCCUGACCAGUUCCUGGAUAUGAUGUGUCUUUCAGGUGGGAAUGCAAAAUGGUGCAGCCACUCUGGAAAGCAGUCCGGCUGUUCUUCAAAAACCUAAACACAGAGUGACCACGUGACCCAGCCAUUCCGCUCCUACCUGUAUACUGCAUCCAAGAGGAUUGAAAACAGGUGUUCAAACAAAACCUUGUACAUGAAUGUUCACAGCAGCGUUAUUCAUAAUAGCAAAAAAGUGGGAAUAACCCAAAUGUCCAUCACCUGAUGAAUGGGUAAACAAAAUGAGAUAUACCCAUACAAUGGAACAGUAUUCAGCCAUAACAGAAUGGGGAUGAUGGGGUACUGAUCCGUGCUACAACAUGGAUGAAACUUGAAAACAUUAUGCUCAGCGAAAGAGAGCUACACACUGUAUGAUUCCAACUAUAGGAAAUGCCCAGAAUAGGCAAAUCCAUAGAGACAGAAAAUAGAUUAGUGAUUGGCAGGGAAUGAGGAAAUGGGGGAAUGGAUGGUGACCCCUCACAGGUACAGAGUUUCUCCAUAGAGUGAUGAGAAUGUUCUGGAACUAGACAAUGGAGAUGCUUGCACGACAUUGUGGAUGUACUAAAAACCAGUGAAUUGUUUAUUUUAAAACGGUGAAUUAUAUAUUAUAUGAAUUUUACCUCGACAAAAAAAAUGUUGGGGAAAAACAUAUAAAGUUAUGAUUACUGGCUGAGCCACACGAAUUUUGUAACAAAAAAGGAAAAACACAAACUUGGCCCCUGGGGAGGCACGAGAAUCGGAGGAGAGACACGCAUGAUCUUUGUCUUUCCGAACUACCCCUGGGAGCUCCCCGCGCCUCCCCAAAGAAGAAAACAAGAGGAAGGCCCAGUGCCACCUUUCCCAGUGGUUGGACUGCUUUGAGUUCAAACUGCGAGUUUAGCCCCCAUGUCUGUCCCUCCAGCUGCUCACACCUGACAGAGCUGACCAGGAGAGAGCAGGAGGGGGCCCCAGCCCUGAAUAUGUCCAGGUAUUCUGUUAAUGGGAUUUGCUUUAACUGGCUGAAUCCAGGACCCUGGAGGACAUCACUGCAGCCAGUCCUGCAGGUUGGUCUCCCUCUGGGGGCUCCUACUGAUGAUAAUUUUUCUGCAGAGACGCCUUGGCCAAGGGUCGAUGGAGGGGACUGCAGAAGAGAGUCAGCAUGGCAGGCCUGGGGCAGCUGUCUUUAGAAGGGCUGCUUACAAGGUUGGCCGGUGGCUGGCGUCCGGGGCUUUCCCAUCAUUCCCUACUUGCUGAGGGGGUACACAGAGCUGGGACUGUGCAAACGUGUGGUUUACGCUGAGCACUAGUGUUCCUUCUUGGAGUCUGGAAUUUUGGUCCCUGCUGGGCAGAGGGGGCCUAUGUGACUGGUCCCCAGUGAAAACCUGGAUGUUAGCAUUCUAAGGGGCUUCCCUGGGCAGAAACGUCACACACGCCUUGCUGCCUUUCUGUCACACUCUGUGACCCCUCGUGGGAGGGAGAGCGCACAAAAAAUCCUGGAGUGAUUCCUCCAGACCCCACCUGUGUCUCAUUCCCUUCCGAUCUGGCUGUGUAUCCUCAGAACAUUGCCGCAAUAAAUCUUAGCCGAGUUCAGCUGCAUGCUGAGUCCCAUGGGUCCUUCCAGAAAAUCACCGGACGUGGGAGCGGUCUUGGGGACUCCCAACACUGGACCUUGAAUCUUUCAAUUCCAUUCAAAUGUUGCCAAAUGUCCCAGUAAUAUUUUUCUAUAGCAAAAGGAUCCAGGUCAGAAUCAUGUGUGAUGGCUUCUAGUUGUCCUGUCUCCUAGACUCCUCGAUCUGGAACAUUUCUGCCGUCUCUUUUCCACUUUUAUCAUCUUGACAGAUUUGAACAUUAUAGGCCAGUUUUGCUAUGUAGAAUGUCCCUCAAUUUAGUUCUGUCUGGUGGUUCCUUGUAAAUUCAGAUCGUGCAUCUUUGACAAGAAUAUCACAGCAGUGACUUUUUUGUCCUCAUUCGAUCCCAACAGGUGGCCCAUGAUUUCAAUUUGUCCUGUUACUGACGGUGCUCACCUUGAUCACCGACUUAAGGUGGUGUCUGCCGGCCUUCACUGUCAACCUAAUCUUUUCUCUCCCUAAAUAGUGUCUGUGGGAAGCAUCUUUCAAGGGUGGGCUUGCAAGUUUGGCCCUUGGCUGGCCUCUGGAAUCUCGGAUUUGGGGAGUGAUAAGGGAUGAUGAGGAUCGAGUGCCUGGAUUCUGUGAAUAAUACAGUUUAUGCUAUUUUCCUUCUUGAAUUCUGGUACAUGCUAGGAAUUAGGUCCACGCUGUGUUCAGCAUAAGCACGGUGUUCACACAAAUAGUCCAGCCACAGUAAAUCACUCUUAUCAGUUGGGGAAUGGUGAGAACACUUCCAAAAGCCAGGUUUCCAGAUGCCAGCCAAGGGCCAACCUUGAAAGCAGGCCCUCCUAAAGAUAAAAGCCCCAGGCCGGCUAUGUUGACUCUUUUCUUCACAGUCCCCAACUCAGCUCCACGUGAAUGUAGCCACAAUCCAAACUCUCUUUUAGUUGCUCUUCUGAAAUAUGUGGAACCUCCUAUUUCAUCUGUCUUCCUCUUUGAGCGGCCCAACCCUCUCUCCCUCCCCUGACAGGUGGCGACCUUGAAGCCAUCGGAAUCAAUAGCUUGGGUGGGAUACCAGCAUCUUCCAUAUGAUGUUUGCAGCUGGGGUGCCUUCCGCUGUGUCAUGGAGACAUUGUGGGGGAGCUUUUGAGGAGUCUGAAUGACAGGUGCACAGAGUGUUAGCUUUGCCAGCUCUCCCAGGUGUCCAGUGUCUGGAGUCUAGUUAUUUCAGACUACAGCCCACAGGCAGAGCAGAACCCCUUAGCAGAGUUCAGUUCCUUCCAUCUCUGCUUACAAACUCAUCAGUUCUUGUCUGAGCUCAUCUCUCUUAUAAGGAUAUUGCAAAAAGCAAAAAGGGGCAGGAUACACGCCUGGGUUUUCCAACCAAUUCCCUAGGGCCACAAGCUCAGGUGACCAAUGGCCGGCUGAUCUAGUUACCAAAGCAGAUGGUUCUACAAAAUAUUUUCUUGGGACAUAAAAAAAGUCACCAACUUCUCGUCCUGCAGUAGCUGGCCUUUGCCACCUGCUGCAUGAUCACUAAGACAAUGUCACAUGUCUUAGAGUUUUAUUUUUUACAUCAGCACGCUUCUGGUGUCAGUUUCUAUAUUAGUUAAGACACAGGCUAAUCAAUGUCUGUAUUAACCCACGGAUUCUAAAAUGCGCUGCCUCAGGGAGCGGGGAAGCUCAUCUCUCAUUUCAUAUCUUACAGGUUGGUGGGCAGCAUGGGGCAGGUCGGUGGCUCUGACCCUUGACCCAUCAACUCUACCACCUUCAACAUGUGCCUUCCACCUCUAGGUCCAAGGAAGCUACCUAAAGUGCUAUUUCCCACCCAGUGGGGAGGGGAAGAAGGGAAAGUACGGGAAAUUGGCUUUGUUUUUAAGGAGAUGAACUAGAAGUUGCACAUAAUUUCUGCUCACAUCUCAUUGGCCUGAACUUAGUCACAUGGCCAUGAAGCUGCAAAGGAGACUGGGAAAUGUAGUCUGUGGCUGAGCGAUCAGCUAAAACUUAGGGCUUUUGUUACUAAGAGGAAGAAAGGGAAAAUGGAUAUUGAGGAAACUGAUGAAGUUAGCAGUCUCUGUCACAGAUGGUGUGGGGUUAACUACUCCAUGUCCUUCAGUGUCCAUUCUCCCCAUAAUAUCUCUGAUCAUAAGCCUUCCUGAAAUAAAAACUACAUUUCCCAGCUUCCGUUGCAGCCAUACGUGGCCAUGUGACUAAGUUCCAGUUGGUGGUAUGUAAGGAAAACUGAUGUGUGCAACUUGUGAGAUGUGACAUUAAGGUGGGAAGAAGCAUGCCCUUUCUAGCCUCUCUUCAGCAUUCCUGCUUCUCAGAAGGCGGAUGUGAUGGCUGGAGCCACAUUGUGGGCCAUGAGGACAAGAGCCACAUCCUAAGGUUGACAGAAUGAGAAGCCAGAAGCAGCCUAGAUCCUAGACAGUGGCAGAGCCACCCAAAUAGCCUACAUUUGAAUUUUACCUGAGAGAGAAAUAAGCUAUAUCUUGUUGAAGUUACUAUGAUCUUCAGUGUCUUUACACAAAGCCAAAUCCAAGUCCUAAUUAAUACAGAGAAUGUCAUACUUCAUGAGCCUUUUCACUCAGUAUUACAUUUUUUUAUGUGUAUCCAUAUUGACUUAUGUAUAUCUAAUUCUUUCUUUCUUUCUUUCUUUGGCACAGUUCCUUCAUGGGUCAUUGACCUAAGGCUCUUUAUUUUAUUGUGGUAAAAUAAACAUAGCAUAAAAUUGACCAUUUUGACCAUUCCUAAGUGUACCAUUCAGCGGCAUUAAGUACCUUUCAAUGUUGGACAACUGCCACUAUCCAUUUCCAGAACUUUGUCAUCAUCCCAAAUAGAAACUUUGUCCCCAUUAAGCAGUAACCCCCCAUCCGCCCUCCCCCAGCCCCUGGUAACCUCUACUUUACUUUCUGUCUCUAUAAAUUUGCCUAUUCUGGGCACUUUUUUGAAGUGGAAUCUUGCAGUAUUUGUCCUUUCGUGUCUGCUGUAAUUCAUUCAUUUUAACAACUGUGCAACAUAGUUUCCAUCUCUUCCUUUCGGUCACCUUUGUCAUCCUUUAAUGAAGUCUCAUAAUUUAUCCCAAAAUGAACUGGGACAUCCCUUCUUGGCAUGUGGGCUAUGCACCUUGCUUCUUUUUUGCAUGAGAGCAUAGAGUCUUUUUUAAAGACUUAUAUAUUCUAAUUGGUCAUUACUGCUGUUAUAGAGUGCUGUUGGUUUUUUUGUACGUUGAUCUGAUAUCCAGCUGACUUGCUGACAUUUCUUCGUAGUUCUGUUACCGCCCAAGGGGGCUCGUCUGUCUGCUCACCGCAAGGCAUGCUGAUAGUCAGGAGGCAGGGGGGUAGGAGGGAAAGGACUUUAUUACAGCUUGCUAGCAAGGGGGAAGACGGCCGACUCAUGUCUGAAAGAACCAUCUCCCAGAACAAAGACUACAGGCCAGUUAUAUACGGGGCCAAUCUCCAGGUGGGGGAGGUAGCUGGUCUCUGGGAGGGGCAGACAUCUGGUCCCAGUUCCUGACAGUCCUUUGUUUUACUGGAUAUGCAUCAGAGACUGGAGCAACGCCCUGUACCCUGAUCUUUCAGUUGUCAUUGAUGAUGGCUAUCAGUACAGGCUCUCUGCCCGGGGCUCAUCACAUUCCUAAGGAACUCAAGAGAACAAUGUUAUCAAGUUAUGGCAGCUGAGAAGGGCCAUAAAGUCCACAAAGCGUGUCUGGGUUAGUUGGUCAGAGGUCAUUUAAAGUUACAAUAUGGCUUCCUUUCCACAAUAUGGCUUCCCUUAUGUCAACCUGUGUUGAGCUGGUAUCAGUUCUUUACAGGAAAUGUUUCAAAUUAACUUGCAUAUUUAUUACAGGUUUCCAGUAGCCUCCUGAUAGCAGGCUGACGAUUCCCUUUUAUGUAUAAUUGGCCACAAAACUUUUACUCUAAUUGAGUGUUGAAUUCCAUCCAGUGGUUUUUCUCUUCUAAUUUGUUAAUAUGGUGUCUUCCAUUAAUAGAUUUUCUUUUAAAUUUUUGCUGUGGAAUUGUCACAGGUGGGAAAGCGGAGCAGAUGCUAUCAUGUGCCCCGCUAGAUCCCUUCCUGGUGGGGAGGCAUCCUUUCUACCAGCUCCAGGAGAGCUGGUGGCUGCUGGCUUCCAGCUGAGAGAUGCGCUCAGCUCAAGAGACCCUCCCUCUCAAGCUUGUGCCCCUUUCCGCAGGGCAGCCCACUUUCUUUGUCUGCUCAAUAAGGGGGACAAAAACCUGGCUCGUGCCUCAGUUAGGGACAACCCAGAAGGGCCAUCCUGGUCCUCUGGAGAUGGCUGAGCUCUUGUUGCAACCACAUCAACUUCUCCCUGAGCCCGUCCUGCCUCCCCUCUUCCUUACAAAUGUCGCCCCAGAGAGCACACCCCAGAAAGCAUCUGCUCACCGCAGAUCUCCAACCCAGAGGCUCUUUCCUGGGAAAUUCUCCAUGCCAAAAACCGCACAUACACAUGUGUGUUUAUUUUUAAACAAAAAUAAAAUAAAUACUUAAGUGUCUGCCAAUGAAGUUCUGGAAGAGAAUAUUCCUAGCACGUUAGAAGCCACCUGUGGGUGCUCCCCAUCGUCUCCUUCUGCUCUCCUCGAAGAUCAUGGAUAUCCUGAUUUUUGUAAUAAUCUCUUGUUCCUUUGUUUUUUUAGUGUUUUGUACGUAUGUAUCUAUGUAUUUCAUAUAUGUAAAUAUAGCUGUGUCUGUUUUGACCUUUGUAUAAAUGGAAGCGUACAACUGUGUUCUCCUGGGACUUGCUUCUUUCAUUCAACAUCGAUGUGAGAUUCACCCAUUUUGAGGAGAUAGCGGUUGUUUGUUACUUUGGUCCAUUCUGUGAAUAAACUGCAAUGUGUGUGUCCCUUCCUCCUUAGCGGACAUGUGCGUUGCCUCCAGUUGCUAUCAACGUUCUCGAACGUGCCUCUGGGGCCGAUGGGCUGAGUGUCCCUCCGGCAGGGUUUCUCAAUGUCCCCACUACUGACACUUUGG
Molecule: long non-coding RNA, 8054 nt
Filed under: Equus caballus (horse)
Lineage: Eukaryota; Metazoa; Chordata; Mammalia; Perissodactyla; Equidae
Description: lncRNA (ENSECAG00000044656.1)
Source: RNAcentral